GUACACUCCUGCGGGAGGCAGCAGUGGGGAAUUUUGAACAAUGGGCGAAAGCCUGAUCCAGCAAUGCCGCGUGUGUGAAGAAGGCCUUCGGGUUGUAAAGCACUUUUGUCCGGAAAGAAAUCCUUGGCUCUAAUACAGUCGGGGGAUGACGGUACCGGAAGAAUAAGCACCGGCUAACUACGUGCCAGCAGCCGCGGUAAUACGUAGGGUGCGAGCGUUAAUCGGAAUUACUGGGCGUAAAGCGUGCGCAGGCGGUUUGCUAAGACCGAUGUGAAAUCCCCGGGCUCAACCUGGGAACUGCAUUGGUGACUGGCAGGCUAGAGUAUGGCAGAGGGGGGUAGAAUUCCACGUGUAGCAGUGAAAUGCGUAGAGAUGUGGAGGAAUACCGAUGGCGAAGGCAGCCCCCUGGGCCAAUACUGACGCUCAUGCACGAAAGCGUGGGGAGCAAACAGGAUUAGAUACCCGUGUAGUCC
RNAcentral lists this ribosomal RNA (473 nucleotides) under uncultured organism. RNAcentral's name for it is "partial 16S ribosomal RNA". It matches the Rfam family "Bacterial small subunit ribosomal RNA", at positions 331 to 796 of the family's 1533-position model. The record is from RNAcentral.